UUCAGAUAUCCUGCAAUUUCAGUAACAGUCUACAUUUGCACCCGUCACUGUUUAUAUUUACGGUUGUAUUAGUAAUGAGUAGCCCAGAUAGAAAGAUUUAUCUGCAAGCUACAACCAUGCAAACAUGUGCAACUGGAGUGUGGUCACUAAACAGACUAUAAUUACUUUUUAUUUCGUCCCUUUGCUCAGUGCCUCGAGAAUCUAAACAGCUUGCCUUCCGUGAGGAUGGGCGGCAGUGGAAGCUUCCUGGUUGCUUGCAACAACACAGAUUGUCUGAAUCUUCCUGGUAGGAUGUAUGCCUACUUUGCUUACUAGCUUAUUUUACAGAUCUAAAAAUUGCUGUAAAACAGCAAAGUAAUUAUCAGAUUUACCAACAAAAAUAGAGCCAUGAAAUUACUUAUCUGUUCCAUAUUAUUUGAGCGUUCACAACCAGAAAUGACUAUUUAUGUGUAUGUAUUGUCAACAAACAUAAUACGCAUCCGGGCUUCAUUUAAAAGCACACACCUUGGACCUAACGCAUUAGCCUUUACCCUCACAGAGUCCAGCUGAAAUCAGUGGGACCAAUGUGCCAACAACCCUUUAAUGCAUCCUCAUAAUUCAAAAAGAAAGGCUUUGCUGUUCUAUUGCAUAGCAAGAUUCCUAUUGUUUAGCUAUAUACUCAGACCCUUAUUUACAUCCACCUGUUUACAGCCAUGUACUCUUUACUUUUCAGUAGUAAUCAAGGCUCAAAGCUUGGAAUUAAUCUGCGUUCAAUCCCAAAUCUAUCUGUAGCCAGGAACAGAUCAACAAACAUUUCUGAAGCUUUUCCCUCAUUUUUAAGGUAGCAAAUCAAUUUUAUGUUACACUCUUUCUUUCUCUUUUUCUCUCUUUUUCUUUCUCUCUUUCUCUCUCUCUCUUCUUCUCAGAAGAUGGUGUAGUGACAGAAUUGCAGAAAAGCAAUUUCCCCUUUUUCUUUCUAAAACAAAGUUCACACUGUCAUCAGCUGACUUUAUUUAAAGGCCAAAAAAAAAAAAAAAAAGCUUGAAAUAUAGCUAGACACUCCAGCCUGUAUGUUCGUAGAGCUGAUCGUACCAUUUUGUUGCCGAACACAGCAAAGAGCACAUGUGGAGUUGGAGUUGUGCGCAUAAACAUUUGCCUUGCAGAAAGAAGUGUUUCCACCAGGAUGCUCUCAAGGAGGAUUAAAUAGCGGCAUGAACCCUCCAGCUUGCUGGAUGUGCUGGAGUGAAUCAGAAAGGGCAAGUUUCCUGAAGGCCUGGGUCACCAGCGUGGAAAGCUGUGCCACAGCACGCGUGCCCCUCUGUCAGUCGGCACGAGGUCCCUGCAGGUGCCUGCUCUCUGUGCACCUGGGAACAGCAACUGCAAACCCGAGUGGGUGCCUGCCAGCACACCACAUCCCUCUCACGCGAAGUAAUGCCCUCCUCAUCCCGCAAAGUUUCUUGAAAAGCAGAAAGGGACUACUGACUACCUCAAGAAAUGUCCUGAAAUAAUCCAAAAUGAAUGCCUAUAGAAUGCAAAUUACACUUUUUCUGUCAGAGAUGAACCUUUCAGACCAUGUUCUAAGGCAGACACCCUAGCACUGUUUCUACCCAUCUUCCCUUGAGACAGGAAUAUGACAAAGGAAAAUGGAAACUCCCAGUAACCACUUCAAAAAUGAGCUAGUAAGGAAAUCCAUUAACUGCUCUUCUUAUCUCACUCCUUCGGAAUCAGAUAUGUCCCUGGGAAUUACUGUGCUGUGCAUAUAGCAGCAGUUCAAUCACAGGAACUAGAAGACUGUAACAGUUCUUAGGUGGCUUCUUUUGAUGGGUGGAAUAAAUGUUACCACAACUGCUACCAACCUUGGUGUGAAAAGCUGUACAGAUCACGAAUUUUCAUCUGACGAAUUUUCUGAGCUCUCAGUUGGGUUGAAAGCAUCUGUCCGGGUACCAACCAGAGCCACCGGCCCACUUGUGCAGGGGCGGAGGUGCGAGGCUGAGGCUGCAGUGGCCCCUAGCGGGGGAGGCUUUGUCAUCGCGGAGCCUCUGUCGCAGGGGCUGUGCACAGCUUCUGCACAGGCACCUCCUGCCGAAUGGGAGGUGACCUCAGAAGGGGAGAACCCCAGCUUGCUAGGUUUUCAAUUUUCAUUUGCCAGCUUUCAAUUUUCCAUCUGAUUUUCAAAUGUUGUUCAAUAAAAAUGUUGGUAGAAA
Anas platyrhynchos (mallard) is the source of this 2183-nucleotide non-coding RNA. NCBI's taxonomy places the organism in Eukaryota, Metazoa, Chordata, Aves, Anseriformes, Anatidae. The record is from RefSeq and is a predicted model, not a curated record.